This is a long non-coding RNA of Tyto alba (common barn owl), 670 nucleotides long. RefSeq lists it as uncharacterized. The transcript has 2 exons. Lineage: Eukaryota; Metazoa; Chordata; Aves; Strigiformes; Tytonidae. The record is from RefSeq and is a predicted model, not a curated record.
ACAGUGGGGGCUACCUUUUUCCACAAGACCCCAGCCUUCUUCAGGAUGCCCUGGCCUAUCUUGUCUGGAAGGAAUUUUAUGUCUGGUAUCUUGCUGUCCCCAUAGCAAUGCCUGCAAGGUGACUAAUGACAUUUUUACUGGCUCUUAAUUCUCCAGGUAUUUUAUUACUAGAAAUACCUUUUUUAAAUUUCAACUUUCCUUCUAUGUAAAGAAAAAAAAAAAAAAAUCUCAUUUUUCUCCUGGAGUCUCCUGGGUGACUUUUCUUAAUUUCAUGAUGCCUCAGCUUGCCUGGAUGCUAUGCCUCCGAGUCCCUGUCUCCCAUGCCUUUUAUCUUAUAAAGAUUGCUCCAUUCACUUGCAACAGCCAAUAUCACCUUUAUGGGUGUAUUGAGUGAAUAAGGUGUUGUAACUCCCACCGAAGUCAAUAUGUCUCUGCACUUGGUGCACACUGCUAACCUAUGCUUUGAUGUCCCAUGACUGAAAGCAUACGAAUACAAGAAAAUAUUUCUUUUUCUGUAGUGAACUUAAACUCUCUUAUAUAUGUAAUGUAACAGUCUCUGCUAUUAUGUCAAAAAAAAAAAAAAAAAAAAAAAGUGUUGAUAGGACACCUUUAAAAAUUCAGGCAGUUGCUGACAAGGCAUUUUUAGAAACCCUGAAAGAAGAACUUUAUA